GCUGGGCACGGUGGCGCGUGCCUGUAAUCCCAGCUACUCAGGAGGCUGAGGCAGGAGAAUUGCCUGAACCCAGGAGGCGGAGGUUGCAGUGAGCCGAGAUCACGCCAUUGCACUCCAGCCUGGGUAACAAGAGCAAAACUCCGUCUCAAAAAAAAAAAAAGAAAAAAUUAGGUGGAAAAAAGACAGUGUUGCUCUGUCGACAGGCUGGAUUCAGUGGCACAAUCUCGGCUCACUGCAACCUCCGCCUCCCGUGUUCAAGUGAUUCUCCUGCCUCAG
Molecule: small RNA, 276 nt
Filed under: Callithrix jacchus (white-tufted-ear marmoset)
Lineage: Eukaryota; Metazoa; Chordata; Mammalia; Primates; Cebidae
Description: Metazoan signal recognition particle RNA (ENSCJAG00000062038.2)
Source: RNAcentral